This 305-nucleotide ribosomal RNA is filed under the name uncultured bacterium. Its description in RNAcentral is "bacterial SSU rRNA". It matches the Rfam family "Bacterial small subunit ribosomal RNA", at positions 335 to 638 of the family's 1533-position model. The record is from RNAcentral.
GUCCUACGGGACGCAGCAGUGAGGAAUAUUGGUCAAUGGACGAGAGUCUGAACCAGCCAAGUCGCGUGAAGGAUGACUGCCCUAUGGGUUGUAAACUUCUUUUAUAAAGGAAUAGAACGAGGCACGUGUGCCUUUUUGCAUGUACUUUAUGAAUAAGGAUCGGCUAACUCCGUGCCAGCAGCCGCGGUAAUACGGAGGAUCCGAGCGUUAUCCGGAUUUAUUGGGUUUAAAGGGAGCGUAGAUGGGUUGUUAAGUCAGUUGUGAAAGUUUGCGGCUCAACCGUAAAAUUGCAAUUGAUACUGGCA